This 253-nucleotide ribosomal RNA is filed under the name uncultured bacterium. RNAcentral describes it as "partial 16S ribosomal RNA". It matches the Rfam family "Bacterial small subunit ribosomal RNA", at positions 524 to 776 of the family's 1533-position model. The record is from RNAcentral.
UACGUAGGGUGCGAGCGUUGUCCGGAAUUAUUGGGCGUAAAGGGCUCGUAGGCGGUUUGUCGCGUCGGGAGUGAAAACCAGGUGCUUAACACCUGGCUUGCUUUCGAUACGGGCAGACUAGAGGUAUUCAGGGGAGAACGGAAUUCCUGGUGUAGCGGUGAAAUGCGCAGAUAUCAGGAGGAACACCAGUGGCGAAGGCGAGUCCCUGGACACUUCCUGACACUGAGGCACGAAAGCUAGGGGAGCAAACAGG